Molecule: long non-coding RNA, 2447 nt
Organism: Homo sapiens (human)
Lineage: Eukaryota; Metazoa; Chordata; Mammalia; Primates; Hominidae
Exons: 3
Source: RefSeq, a predicted model, not a curated record
GCUCCCCCCAGCAGAAUGUCAGCUCCUUGAGGGAUGGGAUCUUGUCUCAUUCUCUGCUGCAUCCUCAGCAGGGGGUAGGGUGCCUGGGACAUUGAGGUAUUCACCAACAGCUGUCAGGUCACCUGCCUGUCUCCUUGGAAAGUUAGCUCCAUGCAGGUUCAGCCUGGGCUGCCCUGCCUACCAUUGCCUCCCCAGUGCCCUCAUGGUGUACUCCAUGGAAGGUACCAGAGCUUAGAGCAAAGCCUAGCGCACAGGGCAUGCGAUGGUGAAUGAAUGGAUGAACAAACAAGAGCAUCAAUUUUGGGAUUAGACUGCCUGGGUUCACAUCCUCACCAGCUCUGACCCUUGGGCAAAUUAUUUAACCUAUCUGGGCCUCAGUUUCCUCAUCGAUAAAAUGGGGAUGAUCGUAGUGCCUACCUCAUGGGGUGGUUAUGUGGAUUAAAUGGUUUCAGGGAGUAUUCAAUAUCUGCAAGUGUGUAACAUACGAAUAUCACGUGAGAUUUUUGGGCAUAACUGAGCAAAUCCCAGCUCUUGAUGGGGUCUCAGGAGCAGUGGUGCAAAGAGCAGUGGGAACGGUAUUCCUGGCGGAGGGAACAGCAUCCACAGGAUGUUUUGGAGGGGGUCGGGUAAGAGGGGAUGUUUUGGGGGGGCAGGUAAGAGGGGAUGUUUUGGGGGGGAGUAAGAGGGGAGGGGAGAGAGAUGGACUGGCAGUGCCAGGGAGUGGCCGUCGGGCUGAACAUCCACAGAAACCAGACACGAAGAGGAGGCAAGCCAGGCCAGGGGGAAGCAUAAAGAGGAAGUGAACCAAAGCAGGGAGCGAGGACUGGUUUCACAAGACACUCAGUGUGAGGCUUCGAGAAGGCCAUGGAGAAGGUCAGCCUUGAAAAAGCUGGAACUUGGCUUUGCUGUUCAAUGUCUCCUGGUGCAUGGAAGAGUGCCUGGCAAGAGUCUGUGCUCAUAAAUAUUGAUUGAACAAAAGAAGGAAUGCUAACUAUGACUAUUAUUACCACUAUUGCUUGGCAAAAGCUAGAGGAAGAGAGAUUGAGGAUAGGGUUGAUGUAAUUAUGUCUAAUAAGAAAAAAACAACAACAAACAGUGGCCUGCUCCUGCCUGGCUUCCGUCAAAGACCAAAGACCAGUGGGCUUUCUGUCCUCCGGGCUCUGUCUUCCUGCUGCCACGGUUACCACGGUCCGUGGACUCCAGAAGAAAGGCCAGGCCAGGCUGACUCUGUGGUUCUGCCCAGCUUCCUUGGGUAGCCCAGGGCCUGGUAGAGAAAGAUCCCAUCCAAAAACAGCUGGCCUCCCCGAUCUUAUCUCCAUGGUGCCCAGAUGGAGGGAGAAGGGAGGUACUUGCUGUUCUUCCAGAAAAUACGGUCCAGACUCACUCUGCAUUUGUGGAGGACCUGCUCAUGCUCUGGGCAACUCAAAGACGUGCGGAUCGUGGUCCCUACCCUCCAGGAGGUUUCUGGCAGCAAGGAGGGGCCAGAGACAAGCACUGACUUAGCUGUGUAUAAAAAUAGCAAGGGCUUGCACAUGACAGGGAAAAGUCAGGUGCGGAGGAGCAGGAAGAGCUCUCUCACCCAUACCUGCCCCAGCCUCACAGUCCACUCGCCCUGAUGCACGCCUUCCUGGCUGAGGCGGCUGGGCUCCCAUGUCUCCACCGGGUGCCAUCCCAAACUCCCAGAGGCCUGGGGCUGAGCCGCUCCCUCCACAAACCCAGGUCUCAACCAGUGGCUGGCAGAGAUUAGAGGGCUAGCCCAGACCUCACCGCUGGUGGCUGGUCUGGCAGAGCUUCAGAAGGGUGCAGAAAGGACACUAACUUGGCAAUAGCAUCCUGGGAUCAUCUUUCUCACCUCUCUGCUCCUUCAGUUGACAAUCCAACUCUGCUCUCCAUUGCAGAGAACAGACUCCGGACCCCCAGAGAGACUAUGAACUGACCACUGCAGCCCAAGGAGCACCUGCAGGGUUUAGGGGUCCAGGGCUGAGGCCUAGGACCAUCACCAUGGCAGUCACUGUCAUCUCCAUGACUACAAUCAUCACCUCCAUGACCAACCACCAUCACCUCCAUCAUCACCACUGUCAUGAGGGAAAUUGUGUCCUCCCAAAAAAUAGGUUCGGCCAGGCAUCAUGGCUCAUGCCUAUAAUCCCAGCACUUUGGGAGGUUGAGGUGGGUGGCUCACCUGAGGUCAGGAGUUCCAGACCAGGCUGGCCAAAAUGGUGAAACCCCGUCUCUACUGAAAAUACAAAAAAUUAGCCGGGCGUGGUGACGGGCGCCUGUAAUCCCAGCUACUUGAGAGGCUGAGGCAUGAGAAUUGCUUGUAUCCGGGAGGCGGCGGUUGCAGUGAGCCGAGAUCACGUCAUUGCACUCCAGCCUGGGCAACAAGAGCAAAACUCCGUCUCAAAAAAAAUAAAUAAAUAAAAGACAAAAAUGUUAGGUUCAAGUCCUAA